GGGUUUUGCCCAUGAACCUGACAUCGUAGCAGAACCCUUCUUUCAUCAGAUUGUAGGGAUUUUGCACAUGAACCUGACAUAGUAGGAGAUCCAUUAUUUUAUCAGAUUGUAAGUAUUGAAUUUGUUUAUCAUUUUCAUAAAUAAUUUGUGUGAUUAGCACACGGGAAACCUGCAAAAAUGUCAUUUGUGUGCUUCGAAAUGCAAAUUUUUGAUGAUUUUUGGUGUCUAACGGGCGGACGAAAGGUCUUAAGACAACGGUCCUAUUAUGAUAUUGUAUGUGUUGAAAUUGUUUCUCAUUUUUGUAAAUAAUUGUCAUGUUUCAUACAAUGAAAAGUAAAUUAAAUUAGUUAUUUUAAAUAUUA
Molecule: long non-coding RNA, 362 nt
Organism: Dalotia coriaria
Lineage: Eukaryota; Metazoa; Arthropoda; Insecta; Coleoptera; Staphylinidae
Exons: 2
Source: RefSeq, a predicted model, not a curated record